RNAcentral lists this ribosomal RNA (253 nucleotides) under uncultured bacterium. RNAcentral describes it as "partial 16S ribosomal RNA". It matches the Rfam family "Bacterial small subunit ribosomal RNA", at positions 524 to 776 of the family's 1533-position model. The record is from RNAcentral.
UACGGAGGGAGCUAGCGUUGUUCGGAAUUACUGGGCGUAAAGCGCACGUAGGCGGCUAUUCAAGUCGGGGGUGAAAGCCCGGGGCUCAACCCCGGAAUAGCCUUUGAGACUGCAUCGCUUGAACAUCGGAGAGGUAAGUGGAAUUCCGAGUGUAGAGGUGAAAUUCGUAGAUAUUCGGAAGAACACCAGUGGCGAAGGCGACUUACUGGACGAUUGUUGACGCUGAGGUGCGAAAGCGUGGGGAGCAAACAGG